UGUGCAUGUGUGACACAGGGACACAUCAGCUCCUCAAUCGCGCCUGUCUGAGGGACAGAAAAUGUGUUGUAGGGAUGUAACCGAAUACGAAUACAUUAUUUUAAAUGAACAGAUAAUGCAUUCUAAAAGGAUACAAAUAUAGAUAAAACUAUUUGGCGUGCUAUUCAUUUUAUUAAAAAAGCUUUAGACUAGAGGUGUGCAUCAGGACUGCGAUCAUGUGGGACACGUGCUGGAGGUUUUUACUUUCAUAUGGAUCACCAAGCGAAUGGUCAGGUCUUCCUCUCCUGGUAUUGAUGUCCGUCACUGAGCUCCGGCGCUCUCAGCCACAGCUUUUUGAUUAGGCCUGUGGAUAGAAUCCUUGCGAGCGUCAAAUCCCUGCGCAGGAAUCGCGCGCCAACAAGACAUUGACGGAUGUCUUUUUCGGUCGUCAGGAGAGUGGUUGUCGUAGCGACGCUGACAUGCUGUUGCCGUGCUGCAUGGCUGCCCGUGCCACCGGGGAACACACGCAAACACACAAGAACGCACUUGGAUACACACCGUCUGCUUUCGGAAAAAAAGAGUAAGGACAAGUGGAAAACGUGGAAAGAACGUUUUGCAGAAGUCAGCAGCGCUGUUAAUAGACACAAAUCUCUUCAUACUUCACCUCACUCUCUCUCUUUAGCAUUAGGAGAGAUUAAAGAAGCAAAGUAGUGGGGAUGAAGUGGCAGGUAGGCAUGUAGUCCAUCGUUGUGCCCCUCCUUCAUGCCAACGCUAAGCGGGCAAAAUGCUCAUCCAGGUGAGAGCUGCUUUCAGAGCGAAGAGUUUACAACUCUAAUCCUACCUAAUCGAAUUCAGGAGCAUUUAACGCACGUUAACCACACACGUGCGCACACACACACACACACACACACACACACACACACAUACACACACACGCACAAGGGCAUAUAUGAAAGUAAAACACACAUACACAUACAAAAUUUAUGCACUCUCAUGUGUGUAAGUAGUUACAAAAUCCCAGAGUUCUUCUCUAAAAUGAAAUAAAAAAAUAAAUGAAAUACGUGUACUUGUCUUCUUUACCUACCUUCAAAAAAAAGGUUGAUACUACGAUCAAGAUCUGUCACAAUAAUUAACA
Pangasianodon hypophthalmus (striped catfish) is the source of this 1114-nucleotide long non-coding RNA. RefSeq lists it as uncharacterized. NCBI's taxonomy places the organism in Eukaryota, Metazoa, Chordata, Actinopteri, Siluriformes, Pangasiidae. The record is from RefSeq and is a predicted model, not a curated record. The transcript has 3 exons.